This 408-nucleotide ribosomal RNA is filed under the name uncultured bacterium. RNAcentral's name for it is "partial 16S ribosomal RNA". It matches the Rfam family "Bacterial small subunit ribosomal RNA", at positions 28 to 526 of the family's 1533-position model. The record is from RNAcentral.
GACGAACGCUGGCGGCGUGCCUAAUACAUGCAAGUAGAACGCAGUUGCGAACGGGUGAGUAACGCGUAGGUAACCUGCCUCAUAGCGGGGGAUAACAUUUGGAAACGAUAGCUAAUACCGCCUACUGUGAGAUGGCCCUGCGUUGUAUUAGCUAUUUGGCGAGGUAAAGGCUCAACAAGGAGACGAUACAUAGCAGACCUGAGAGGGGAAAACGCCACACAGGGACUGGGGCACGACCAAGACUCGUGCGGGAGGCAGCAGAAGGGAAACUUCGUAAAUGGACGGAAGACUGACCGGGCAAAGCCGCGUGAAGGAAGAAGGUUUUCGGAUCGUAAAGCUCAGUUGUUAGAGAAGCGGUAGCGAACCAGAAAGGGACGGCUAACUACGUGCCAGGAGACGCGGUAAUAC